CUAUAAUGGAGAGUUUGAUCCUGGCUCAGGACGAACGCUGGCGGCGUGCCUAAUACAUGCAAGUCGAGCGGAAGUUGAAGAGCUUGCUCUUCAACUUUAGCGGCGGACGGGUGAGUAACACGUGGGCAACCUGCCCUGCAGAUCGGGAUAACUCCGGGAAACCGGUGCUAAUACCGAAUAGUUUAUCCUCCCUCCUGGGAGGAUACGGAAAGACGGUUUCGGCUGUCACUGCAGGAUGGGCCCGCGGCGCAUUAGCUAGUUGGUGGGGUAACGGCCCACCAAGGCCACGAUGCGUAGCCGACCUGAGAGGGUGAUCGGCCACACUGGGACUGAGACACGGCCCAGACUCCUACGGGAGGCAGCAGUAGGGAAUCUUCCGCAAUGGACGCAAGUCUGACGGAGCAACGCCGCGUGAGUGAUGAAGGUUUUCGGA
RNAcentral lists this ribosomal RNA (433 nucleotides) under Planococcus glaciei. RNAcentral's name for it is "bacterial SSU rRNA". It matches the Rfam family "Bacterial small subunit ribosomal RNA", at positions 1 to 422 of the family's 1533-position model. Lineage: Bacteria; Bacillati; Bacillota; Bacilli; Caryophanales; Caryophanaceae. The record is from RNAcentral.